This 919-nucleotide ribosomal RNA is filed under the name uncultured Bacteroidota bacterium. RNAcentral's name for it is "bacterial SSU rRNA". It matches the Rfam family "Bacterial small subunit ribosomal RNA", at positions 1 to 904 of the family's 1533-position model. Lineage: Bacteria; Pseudomonadati; Bacteroidota. The record is from RNAcentral.
UGGAUCCAGACUUUGAUCACGGCUCAGGAUGAACGCUAGCGACAGGCUUAACACAUGCAAGUCGAGGGGCAGCGGGGAGCGAAGCUUGCUUUGCUCCGCCGGCGACCGGCGCACGGGUGAGUAACACGUAUGCAACCUGCCCCUGUCUGUGGGAUAAUCGGAAGAAAUUCCGUCUAAUACCGCAUAACGCCCUAAGAGGACAUCCUCUUAGGGCCAAAGGAGCGAUCCGGACAGGGAUGGGCAUGCGGCGCAUUAGGCAGUUGGCGGUGUAACGGACCACCAAACCGACGAUGCGUAGGGGUUCUGAGAGGAAGGUCCCCCACACUGGUACUGAGACACGGACCAGACUCCUACGGGAGGCAGCAGUGAGGAAUAUUGGUCAAUGGGCGGGAGCCUGAACCAGCCAAGUCGCGUGAGGGAAGACGGCCCUAUGGGUUGUAAACCUCUUUUGCCGGGGAGCAAGAGGCGCCACGCGUGGCGCCGUGAGAGUACCCGGAGAAAAAGCAUCGGCUAACUCCGUGCCAGCAGCCGCGGUAAUACGGAGGAUGCGAGCGUUAUCCGGAUUUAUUGGGUUUAAAGGGUGCGUAGGCGGGCUGUUAAGUCAGCGGUAAAAUUGCGGGGCUCAACCCCGUCGAGCCGUUGAAACUGGCGGCCUUGAGUAGGCGAGAAGUGUGCGGAAUGCGUGGUGUAGCGGUGAAAUGCAUAGAUAUCACGCAGAACUCCGAUUGCGAAGGCAGCACGCCGGCGCCUUACUGACGCUGAAGCACGAAAGCGUGGGUAUCGAACAGGAUUAGAUACCCUGGUAGUCCACGCAGUAAACGAUGAGCGCUAAUUGUCCGGGGGGGAAUGACCCCUGGGUGAUACAGUGAAAACGUUAAGCGCUCCACCUGGGGAGUACGCCGGCAACGGUGCAACUAAA